GACGAACGCUGGCGGCGUGCCUAAUACAUGCAAGUCGAGCGAAGUGGAGAGAGCUUGCUCUCAAAGCUUAGCGGCGAACGGGUGAGUAACACGUGGGCAACCUGCCUGACAGACCGGGAUAACUUGGGGAAACUCAAGCUAAUACCGGAUAGGAUCUCCAAGCGCAUGGUUUGAGAUGGAAAGUCUGAACGACACUGUCAGAUGGGCCCGCGGCGCAUUAGCUAGUUGGUGGGGGUAAUGGCCUACCAAGGCGACGAUGCGUAGCCGACCUGAGAGGGUGACCGGCCACACUGGGACUGAGACACGGCCCAGACUCCUACGGGAGGCAGCAGUAGGGAAUCUUCCACAAUGGACGAAAGUCUGAUGGAGCAACGCCGCGUGAGUGAUGAAGGUUUUCGGAUCGUAAAACACUGUUGUUAGGGAAGAACACCCGGGAGAGGAUCCCGGAUUGACGGUACCUGACGAGAAAGCCCCGGCUAACUACGUGCCAGCAGCCGCCGUAA
This 503-nucleotide ribosomal RNA is filed under the name uncultured bacterium. Its description in RNAcentral is "partial 16S ribosomal RNA". It matches the Rfam family "Bacterial small subunit ribosomal RNA", at positions 28 to 523 of the family's 1533-position model. The record is from RNAcentral.